Zea mays is the source of this 584-nucleotide long non-coding RNA. RefSeq lists it as uncharacterized. Lineage: Eukaryota; Viridiplantae; Streptophyta; Magnoliopsida; Poales; Poaceae. The transcript is spliced from 2 exons. The record is from RefSeq and is a predicted model, not a curated record.
GUCUGCGCAUCCCCCACCUCCACUCGUAACGGAACCCCCACGAGCACCGCGUCGAUCUCGCCGGGCGUUUUGGGUGGUUGGCGGCGUGCGCUAGCCACUUCCACGCGUAUAAGGAGUCCGCCCCGGCCGAAACGCCUCGCGACAACAAUCCCCUAGCCGCUAACCGACUCGACACCAUUCAAUCUUGCGUCGUGGGAGAGUGCCGCUCCACCAUCCUCGUCCUUGGCAGUGACUCGAUGCUGGUGUUGGGCGCAGGAGAUUCGCCGCGGGGGUGCGCUCGCAGUUGUGUCAACCAGGGAGAUCGGGGUUCACCAGAACAGCAGCAAUUCCUUGUCGUUGCUCAUUCGUGGCCGCAAAUCCGCGUAGUGCGUGAACAACCUCAACCAACGCCUAAUCUCCAGAGAAGAACAUGUGGUCUAGGAGGAGCUGUACAAUGAGGAGUAUGAGUUGCUCUAGGUGGCGUCUCCCAGCCAGCUUUGUGACGCCAAGGAAUAAUACUUAGUUCGCUUAUUAUUAUCAUUUAUUUUUGUAAGACUUCCGCUAUGUAAUAAUGACAUUUAUGUUAUUUGUGACAUUUAUCUCUA